UUGAGACUGUGUGUCAACAGCAACCAAAGACAUUGUUCAGGAGCAGUACUGCCCCGUAGAAAAAGUGGCCGUGAUAUGGUACGGUGAAUGCGAGUUACGCUACUCAAACGAGUCAUUCUUCUCCACCAUGGGCGAAGAUCUCACAUUUUUAUUGAGUAACACUCAAAAUAUAACAGAGCAAACAGAGCAAGAUCGCUUCUUCCUGCUACUUGGAGCUUCAAUGAAUGAAAUAGGGAGCAAAGCAUCAACUGCUUCCCUCGGUACAAAAAAAUUUGCAACAAAAGAAGCCAAUUUUUUGGAAUUACAAACCACAUAUAGCCUCGUCCAAUGCGACCCUCUGCUAUCCAGCUCUGAUUGCAGUAGGUGUUUUGUGAAUCUCAUAUCAUAUUUGCGAAGUUGUUGUGCAGGAAAGCAAGGGGGUAAUGUUCUGAAUCCUAGUUGCUAUAUUUGGUACGAAAUAUAUCCGUUUUACAAGGUACAAUCCGCACCGUCAUCAGCUCCAGAAUCAGUGCUUGUUGCUCCUCCGCUUCCAAAUAUAGUCACCACAUGAAAAGGAGGAAAGAAGACAACCAAGACAGAAAUCAUUGCUAUAUCGACAAUUGCAUCAAUUGCAGUAGUUGCAGCUCUCUUCGGUUUCUGGUUUUAUAAAUACUCUGGCGGGAGGAAACACGAAGAAGAGAGGGACACAAGCCCAGUAAUUCCGUUACGAAGUAAUUUUGCAAGGUUACGUUCAAUUCGAUUAACAGACAGCAGUAUGUAUGCAAGAAAUGUUGACGACAGUGGAGAAUUAAUGCAAUUGACGACAGUAUGGUACUUCGAUUUAAGUACCAUACUGUCUGCUACAAACAAUUUCUCUGAUGAGAAUAAGCUUGGAGAAGGUGGUUUUGGCCCAGUUUAUAAGGUUUAAAUUUAUAAAUAUUUUCUUUCAUAUGCAAUUUUUGAAAUUAUUUGAACAUUUGCAAUUGAAAUUAAUACAUAGCAACAGAAAAUGUUAGGAUCAAUAUCAACUAAAAGAUUACAUCAUUUGAUUUUAGGAGAGUUGAACUAUCAUUGAACCUUUAGUGUUGUAACAUGUAACAGAGUAUGUCUAUUGUCUACCAAUACUGUCAAAAGCUUUCAUUGAUAAAGAAUGUUUAAAAUGCUUCUAGGGCUUGAUUAAUGGAAAGGAAACUGCAAUUAAAAGGCUUUCAAUGAAAUCUAAACAACGUCUUCAAGAGUUUAAGAAUGAAGUGAUUUUAAUUGCAAAACUUCAACACAAUAGUCUUGUGAGGCUCUUGGGAUGCUGCUCAGAAGGAGAUGAACAGAUUCUAGUCUAUGAAUACAUGGCCAACACUAGUCUUGAUGCCUUUUUGUUUGGUUUGCUCUCUCUCUCUCUCUCACACACACACACAUUUGCACCAUUAAUUAUAGGCCAAUUCAUGGCAAAAUUUCCUAUGCGUGAGAAUCAAUCACCUUAAUAUUACAAUGAAGAUCCAAAAAAAUGUAAGGAACUAGAUUGGGCUAAAUGCAUAAACAUUGUCAAUGGGAUCGCUAAAGCCUUCAAUAUCUACAUGAAGACUCUCGAUUGAAAAUCAUCCAUAGGGAUAUGAAAGCGAGUAAUGUGCUCUUAGAUGAUGAGAUGAACCCAAAGAUAUCAGAUUUUGGCACCGCUAGGAUGUUUGGGAGAAAUCAAAUAGAAGCCAACACCAUCAAAAUCGUGGGUACAUAGUAAGCAAUCCCUUGACUUCAUCCUCAUUUUAAUUCUAUAAAUCAUUGUUGCAGCUUUCUAAAGAAAUUUUUCCGCACACGAUCAAACUUAAGUUUGGCCCCCUUGCAUGCAUGUUUUAGGAGAUUUAUGGUUCAUUCCAUCUCCAUUUGCAACUCAUUUUUCAAAUAACAUUUUUAGUAAACAUUAAAAUUUAGCAUUGAAUCAAACAGAAAACUCUAAAAUUUCAAUCGUGAUUUAAAGAAAGCACUGUAAGAUCAAGGAUUUGCAAAGGAAGAAAGCCAGUUACCAUGAGUCAUGGUUUUGUCAAAGUACCUUAUGCUCUUAGUGAUACUACAUAGUCUACAUUAAUUAGGACAACUUAGCCUUCAUUCUCUUUUACAGUACUUGAAACCAUAUUGUAUAAUAAUACACGUUUUUUUUAAUAGUGGAUACAUGGCACUAGAAUAUGCAAUGGAAGGGCUAUUUUCAAUAAAGUCUAAUGUUUAUAGCUUUGGAAUUCUAAUUCUUGAAAUUGUUAGUGGAAAAAAGAAUUGUGGCUUUUAUCAUCCAGAGCAUGCACAAAGUCUUC
Long non-coding RNA from Quercus robur (English oak), 2276 nucleotides. RefSeq lists it as uncharacterized. NCBI's taxonomy places the organism in Eukaryota, Viridiplantae, Streptophyta, Magnoliopsida, Fagales, Fagaceae. The transcript has 3 exons. The record is from RefSeq and is a predicted model, not a curated record.